AUGCGUCCUGGCAUAGUCUGGGUGCUGUUGCGAUCGCAGACAAAACGCAGUUCUGCCCAGGCUGAAUCGCACCAGAAACCUUGGGGCCAAGUCAGUCAGUCAGCACCGGACGGGGAAAACAGGGAGAUGUCUAAGUGGGAUCCACUGCUGCUUCCAUGGCUACAGGCAGUUGCUGUGGAUCCCUCAGAGUUAGUGCCAAGGAGGGGACAAGACCAAGUGAAAACAGGCCAAGAAGAAGAUCACAUCUUGUCAUGUUGUAUAGAGAGUUUUUGUGUUGGGGGGCUUCUAAGCUGCAGCCUGCUCCAACCACAGCAGAACGCUGCAGGUUAAUUCACUGUGUUGCAUCAGAGCUCUGCAAGGCAAAAACAUUAGAGGACAGGAAGAUCCCAAGUAGAGAUGCUUCAUGCUCUCAUUUUUGAGGACUUUUUUUAUUUUUGGCUCAUUCGCCACACACAAGAGCUCAAGUGGCUGUGCCAAAAGCACAGUACAGUAACCUCAGUGACCUGACCAUUAAUGCAUGACAGAUAGAGCUUUUGAUUUUAAUUCACAAAGUGGAUCAGUAUCAAUUAUGUUGACUUUGUACAAGUAAACAGUCAGUAAUUUUCUAUUCUGUUAACAUAAUAGUGAUUCAGCUUACAGGGUAACAUAUGCAUUUGACCUUCUUGCAGCAACAAAAACUAAUACCCAGGAGAGAAACAGGCUCGUUAGCAUAAGCAGUGAUAGUUGUUUUGACUGGAUUGGCAAAUAAAACAGUUUUCUCAACUAAACCUCUGCAUACCCUCUGAAUUGUAACGUGAAAAACACUAUAACAGCACUGUCGCUUGUUGUUGAGACACACAUAAUCAACAAAUGACAUUCAAUUUUAAAUCAUAUUUAUAUAACAUAGACAGACUGCAUUUGUUCUUAUAUGUAUUGUAAUUCACAGUGUUUUUUGCACAAUUUUUGAUAACAAUUUCACUUUUCAUGCUGAUGCUGAAACAUGUCCAGCAAGAGCUGUCUUAGCAGCCAGGAAAUUGAGCGUUUCAUCUUUCAGCGACUGGAAACGAUCCUCUAAUUACUGUAAUUGGCUGGUGAGGAAGGGCGGGUGUGGUGGUAUGGAGAAGCCACGGUGGCACCCUGAUCACCGGCCUCUGACUGUCCUCUGAGCAUCAUCGCUUCGACUGCUUUAUCACCUCCGACCACUCUAUCCUCCUGGAUUGUGUUUCACCAGUUUGCACCCCCCACUGAAGACCCCACAGGGAGGGUUUCUGCAUAUCUGCAUGAGCAGAAGACUUGCAGGUUGCAUUAAAAGUUUUAUUGCUGGAAGCGCUGGCAUAACACUAAUGUGGACUGAUAAAAUAUUGAGCACAGUAUUUUAAGGAGAAAUUACAUUUACCCCAAUGUUGUACCCAUAAUGAAUGGCUCAAAUUUGACCUUUAAGCUGAGCUCCUCAAUUAUUUUGAAGCUGGGGUUAAAGAGCAGUUAAAUCUUAUUGAUGAUUGAUUUUGUCCAUGCGCAGAGGGAUUUGGAGGGGAAACAUACCAAAUCCAACCCAUUAAUCAAUCACUUAAUCAAUAUGAAAUAAUUGCACAGCUGUGUCCCCUCACACUCUUAUGGUAGUAUUGUAAUGUAUACAGACCAAUACAGAAAGGGUCCUUACAGUCAUAGUCAAAACAGGAGGUAAAAUGAAAACAACUAUUUCUAUUGGUCUAUAUUUCUGUUAUUAGAGGAGCAUUGUGUAAGAUAUCACCAGAAGUGUAGUUUAAAACAUAAAAAAAAGAACAAUAUCAGCGAGUGUGAAGAAAGAACAGUGUUGAUGUUACGCCGAAGACGUCUACCAGACAGAAUGAGCUGGGGCCGGUUGUUUUGCGGAGGUAUCUAUCAAGGUUAGCAUGCUAACCAGCUAGCCCUGUCUCAUAAUACUACUUUGUAUUACCUUUCACAAGCUUUCUUAGCUUUCAGUGUAAUAAAGGAAAAUAUGUCCUUACCAUACAGAAAAAUACAACCAUACACCUUCUAAAUUCAAGUUUCUCUCUCUUUUAUUGAACUAACAUGAGUUUUAUUGCCUUGUUAACUCGUCAUUAAAACGCACCUAAUAAAACUCACCAAAACUGUGUUGGUUUGUAUUUCCACGAUUACCUCUGGUUUGGUUGAAAUAAAUCCUCAAUUCAUUGGGUAAAAUGUGUAAGUAUCUGGACUCUAGACUCUCUGAUAGCUAACGGUAGCCAGCUCCAGCAAAGGAUAGCUACCAAAGAGCACUCUGAUUAUAUGCUGCCCCCUAUGUUUUUGGAGCUAACUUAAAUUCAUAUUUAACAAAAUGCACUUUAAUUCUAGUAAUCUAUCAAUUGUUUUAUGAGCUGACUCAAUUGCUCACGUCCAUUUUGCCCCCUGCUACAGAUGCACUGUGGACCAGCUCUUUCCAACUGCUACCAGCACACAGAACACAGAAGACAUCAAAUUGAAGAAAAUCUCCAAGCUAAAAGUGUUUUCACUCAAAACUCCCUUUGAACCAAACCAAUUUGUUUCUUUAACUAAGACAUGGCAGUUUUCUAAGUAAGUGAGGUAGUGUGGAGGAGAGCUGACAGUGUAUGGUGCUGUCAGCCUGGCUUAGUGUCAGGGCCUGCUGAGCUGGUGUCACAGUGAGACUCCAGGGCAGGGCACCAGCAGAGCGGUGACACUCCCGGGACAUGCGACCUUUUCCCAACAGUCACCCUGGACUGCUCUCUCCACUGGCUUUCUCAGGAGUAGUCAUUUAGGUCUUAUUAACAAUCUUUCACAGAGUCGCGUACGAAGCCCUUCCGAUGCUCAAAAAAUCUAUUUAGUUUCAGUUCAUAAUUGAUAUACCCACAAUUUUUCAAUUACUGUUUUCCUACAUGUCUCUCAGAAACCUUCAGAGACUGGUGUGAACUCGCUAUAUUCGGCUGAGCUUUACACGUGUACAGCAGGCGGAGAGAGCAAUUACAUUUACUGGGGUGAGAGAUUUUUCAGCUGAGAAAAGCUGAGAGUAGCACCCCUUACUGAACACAAAAUGUCUUUUGGUUACAUUGCAUCAGGGUCUCCUGAGACCAAUGUCUGCAGAUAUUUUGGUAGCUUUAACACUUCCGUGAUGUAUUCCCCUCUGCAUGGCUGUUGAUUUUAGCAAAAUCUGCUUCUCUAGACAGCACUUACUUGUUCAGUCUGAGGGAUUCUCCUUUAUGGUCGAUGCUUGGUUGGAUGAAACGGUGUCUGAUAACCGACACGAUGUCAAUGUCGCUUUGUCUGGCCAAUGAAUAAUAUAAACGAUCACACGCUAUUUUUAUUGUCAGUCUGUUGGUCAGCCACUUUUGUCAUGACAGAAAACUCUUUGCAACUAUUGCUUUUUCCAUAGAUUUUGCAUGGACAUUCAGGGUCCCCAGAGUAUGAAUCUCUCUGACUUUGGUGAUUCCACAACUUUUCGUCUAGCCGCACCAGGAAUUUGACAUUUUUGUUUUUUAGGAAAAACAAAAUGACAGCUAUUGGAUGAUAUUUGGUACACAUAUUCAGGGUGCCCAGAUAAACCCCAGUAACUUUGGUGAUGCUCUGUGACAUAGAGUCACCAUGACAUUUGUGGUUAAAAUGUGUCAAGAGCCAUUGUAUAGAAAGGUAGAAGUGUUAAUGCCCCCUUCAUGGUGAAUUGUAAUCACUUUGGAGAUCCCGGAACUUUUCCCUUAACUUUGCAACUUUAAUUUAUCCCUUGAUUUGAUUUGUGAUUUGUGAUUUGUGACUGUUAAACUAAUAACAAUUCCAUCAGCCUUGAAGCUGUGUUACUUUUUUAGUAAAUAGUGAGCAACCCAUGUUAGUCCUCCCCCUGCUCAUGAAGUCAGCAUCCCAGCCCACUUUAUCCAAUCAGGAGAGAGAAUGCCAGCAAGAAGUGGUCUUGUCUGCUGAGGGAACACAUGUCACAUGUCACGUGUUUCAUGUGACUAAGCCUACAAUUAAAAAUAUCUUUUCCUACCUCAUAAAAUAUCAGGCUUUGAUCCUUUGUCUGCCUUGAAAAGAAGUGCGUGCAAGUGUGGUGACAUAGAGAGGAGCUUUAACUAUAUUUUGUAUUUAGUGGUAAAUAGUUUAUUUCAGCACGCCAACACGAUUAACCAAUAGGGUGAUCAAGGUAAACAGUACACCUAGUAAACAUUAUCUUAGCAUUGCCACUAUGAUUAUGUUAGCACACUGACAUUUAAUUUAAAGCACCACAUGCCUUGGUACAGCUACAACAUGUUUUUUUAUUUCUUCUAACGUUAUUCCCUACUCAGAAAUCUUACCGUUGUUGGUGGUUACACUUUAUCAUCUACUUGACUCAGUUAUUGAAUACAUGUAACUCUUUUGAGGUUUUCGAGAGAAUAUUGAGAGCUAUUUUAUCAAAAUCUGAUAACAGCAAAAUAAUAUUAUUACUAAUAAUGUCUACAUUUCAUUUCAAUUGUAUGUUCUGGCUAGAAUCUAUCUAUCUGAGGAUUAAAAAAGACCUUAUAAUCAGUAAUGCUGUUUUCUCUUACUAUAAUCAGAGGUCAAUUUUUGUGCUCCAUUUGUCUGUCUGGGUCCCCUGUGUUCCCUCCCGGCCUUUUUCUACUGGGAACAUCUAAUCAACUCCUGUGUAAUUGGAGCUGUGUUAAGAUGAUCUGCAGGAGUGGGACGUCGGCUCUAAUCACACACGCACACACACACUCAAUGUGAACUGUAGUGCUCUGGCACGAGCAAUUAUUACUUCAACACUGGUACGUUUGGUUACAAUAGAAAAAGGCAUGUCCAC
RNAcentral lists this long non-coding RNA (4741 nucleotides) under Sparus aurata (gilthead seabream). RNAcentral describes it as "lncRNA (ENSSAUG00010014207.1)". The record is from RNAcentral. Lineage: Eukaryota; Metazoa; Chordata; Actinopteri; Spariformes; Sparidae.